Gadus morhua (Atlantic cod) is the source of this 2176-nucleotide long non-coding RNA. NCBI's taxonomy places the organism in Eukaryota, Metazoa, Chordata, Actinopteri, Gadiformes, Gadidae. The record is from Ensembl.
GUUGCAGGUUAGGUCAGUUGCGUGAAAGCAGGUUUGCAGGUUAGGAGGAUACAAUGUUUAAAUUCGCCGUCUACUACUUGUUUGAUAAAACACUUAAAGUGGAAAGUACGUCGGUCAUUCUUGGUAGCGACCAGUUCACCCAAGUGGCAUCCCAGCCGGACUUAGAUGACGAUGCGAACUGGAUUGAAAUAAAAUGGCCCACGAGAAAAGAACCAAACAGGACGGUGCCUGCUAAGGUGCUGUUAUUUGGAGAUUCCUACAAAGAACUUGUGUCGAAGAAGAAUUUAUUCCUUCUCGGUAAGGAUAUCUGGGCCAAGGAAGAAAGAAGGGGUGUGCGCAUGAAAAAGAAGAUGUGUGAGACCGACGUAGUGAAGCCUAAAACGUCCCAACAGGCAGAGCAAACCAGGAUUAAAGAGGCAGCCAGGGACCAGGUGUUACAAAACCUGAAGACUUGCCUGUCUCAGAAAAGGGCCCUGGACACACAAGAUCACCUCUACAGUUCUGAGAACGAAUCUCCACAACGUGUUCAUGGGGGAAAGCGAGCAAAGAUUAACAAGGCAGCAAGACGUGUGCUUUUACCCCUGGCAUCCAGUCCAACUUCUGAUGACGCUACAUCCAUAGGAAGUCCACAACGGCAUGACAUUUUUCAAGACCAUGCCUCAGAUGAAGAGUUGGGUUUCUCCCAAGCCCAGAGAAUGGCAAGUACAUUUACAUUGAAUAUUAUAUUAUUAUGGUAAAAUUAUAUUAUAUUGAAUGAAUAGGUCAGGCAAAGGACAGAGAUCUUACACCCAACUGCAUGGAAAACUUAAUCUCACAAUUGUUACAUAUCUUAUUUUCACAUAUAAACUCCUUUUGGCUGUCAUGUGCAUGCCAACUAAGCAUAAUGAAUUUAAUUUACUUUUAUUUAAUAUAUUCAACAAUAUAAUCAUUUUCAAACACCUUUCAUUAAUGUUUUUCCCACACGGUAGUGUGGAUUAGAAGAGUGUCUUUUAAGCAUACUGUAUUUCCUGUUGUGUUUAUUGGGAUCCAGAAAAACAUAAAAUAAUCACAAUUUCUAACGUACAAAAUGACCACAACAUUAUAUCUGCUGCUAUUUCCUCCCAUGAUUCCACACAUCAGGUUCUGUAAAAGUCUAUUGUACCUUAAUGAAGUUUAAUGUGAUUCUAAUCUCUCAUUCUCUCUUGAAGAAGCUGACGGAUGAUAAUACUGGUCAUGGUAUGGCACCUGGAAUGAAUGAAAUCAUGUCAUGCCUUCAUGGUGGCUGUUCAGAUUGGAAUUAGAGGGGUUGACAUGUCAGAACACAGUAUGUUUAUUAAACAAUGGUGUUUCCACAUUAUUUAUUGUCCUGUACUGAGUUUAAGUACCAUUACUUUUACUAACUAACAAACCAAAUGUUUUCCCACUUAAUAUUACAUUCAUCUAGACCUGCCAGAAAUGAUUAAAUUAAUGAGGGAGUGUGUGGAGUGUGUCCGGGCAUUGAUGUCUUCUAGAGAGACCCCUUCAUUUGCAGCGUCAUCAUCUUCUGUGGACAGUGAAAUUGAAAUGCACCCCUUGGCAGGCAGCACAGUGAUUGUUUCAAAGAGGGCUUUCCUGCGGCUGAAUAGAUCUCGCAUGACCAUUUUUGCCCAGGAGCUGGCUGUCCUGGUAUUCACAAAGGAGGGCCUUGCACAGUCCACCCUAACUGGAAAGUCUCGGAAGGGGGGGCCGCCAAAAACACAGCUUGAUGUUGACAAAGUGCAGGCUAUUACAGAUGCUGUUCUUCUGGAAUUCCGACAGACCACUGUCUCUGAUGUGCGCGCGGCCAUCAGACGAAAAUGCAACAAUGAGCAGUUCAGCCAAAGAAACACACACCACGGAUAAUAUGUGGUGUGUGUUUCUGUAUGGUGGGAGGGGUUAGGCAGGAAUGUUAAGGAAUUAAGAAAUGUUGUCUUUCAUUGUUAUUUCUGUUGUGUUCUGUUAAGUUUAUGUGAAAUGUUUAUUCUGCUGAAAUGUUUAGUUCUGGUCUGCUGCCAUAAUGUAAGUGUUCAUACAUUGGUUGUAAGUUUUUUGUAUGUACUAUAUGGUACAAAUACAUAAAAAUAUAUUUUUUCACCUGGAAGUAGUCUCACAAGUCUUUCAGCCUUGAGUACCCUGGUAAUACAUUUGCAAGUAUGUGCAAGGUAAAAAGUAACAUGGC